AUCUCAUCCAUCCAUCAAGAUUUAAUAUGGACCGUCCGAUCGUAAUUUAUUUGGGAUUAAAUCUGGGCUGUUCAUCGCGAUGCGAUCUGGGCCAUCCGUGCCUAAUUGAAUUUAGGUCGUCCGUACGCGUGAGAUCUGGGCUGUCCGUGUGCACAUUUGAUCUGGGCAGUCCGUGCGCGCGGGAACGGAUCUGGGCGGUCCGAUCAUGCACAUGGCCCGUCCCGUGUCAGCAUUCCUUGCCACGCGGCGUGUCCUGGUUGGCCGGGG
This 267-nucleotide long non-coding RNA is filed under the name Carica papaya (papaya). RNAcentral's name for it is "long non-coding RNA (CPAP_LNC004534)". Lineage: Eukaryota; Viridiplantae; Streptophyta; Magnoliopsida; Brassicales; Caricaceae. The record is from RNAcentral.